UACGGAGGGUGCAAGCGUUAAUCGGAAUGACUGGGCGUAAAGGGUGCGUAGGUGGUUGAAUAAGUUAUAGGUGAAAUCAUAGGGCUCAACCUUGUGCUGAAUUAUAAUACUGUUUAACUAGAGUGUAGGAGAGGGUAGUGGAAUUUCCGGUGUAGCGGUGAAAUGCGUAGAGAUCGGAAGGAACACCAGUUGCGAAGGCGACUACCUGGCCAUAGACUGACACUGAGGCACGAAAGCGUGGGUAGCAAACAGG
RNAcentral lists this ribosomal RNA (253 nucleotides) under uncultured bacterium. Its description in RNAcentral is "partial 16S ribosomal RNA". It matches the Rfam family "Bacterial small subunit ribosomal RNA", at positions 524 to 776 of the family's 1533-position model. The record is from RNAcentral.